CCUACGGGAGGCAGCAGUGGGGAAUAUUGCGCAAUGGGCGAAAGCCUGACGCAGCGACGCCGCGUGAGGGAUGAAGGUCUUCGGAUCAUAAACCUCUGUCAGCAGGGAAGAACGGUCACUGUGCUAAUCAGCAGUGAAUUGACGGUACCUGCAAAGGAAGCACCGGCUAACUCCGUGCCAGCAGCCGCGGUAAUACGGAGGGUGCGAGCGUUAAUCGGAAUUACUGGGCGUAAAGCGCUCGUAGGCGGUAUGUCAAGUCAAGGGUGAAAUCCCCGCGCUCAACGUGGGAACUGCCUUUGAAACUGGCAAACUAGAGUGCGUCAGAGGGGGGUGGAAUUCCAAGUGUAGCAGUGAAAUGCGUAGAUAUUUGGAAGAACACCGAUGGCGAAGGUAGCCCCCUGGACCGCGACUGACGUUGAGGCUCGAAAGCGUGGGGAGCGAACAGGAUUAGAUACCCUUGUAGUC
This 465-nucleotide ribosomal RNA is filed under the name uncultured bacterium. RNAcentral describes it as "partial 16S ribosomal RNA". It matches the Rfam family "Bacterial small subunit ribosomal RNA", at positions 338 to 795 of the family's 1533-position model. The record is from RNAcentral.